Molecule: RNA transcript, 2627 nt
Organism: Chanos chanos (milkfish)
Lineage: Eukaryota; Metazoa; Chordata; Actinopteri; Gonorynchiformes; Chanidae
Gene: rsrp1
Gene name: arginine/serine-rich protein 1
Exons: 5
Source: RefSeq, a predicted model, not a curated record
UGUGCUCAGACCGAAUUCAGCGAGCACUCAGAACAGGAAGAGAAGAUUGUAGUGUGGAACGUAUCGACGCUAACACGACAUUUCAGACGACUACCUUUUUUACUCUACACGUAUUUCAUAAAUAGGCGUUUAUUUUCCAGUGAAACAAGAUUCAGAUUGUCAGCGCGAUCAAAUCGGGAAGGCCUGACUUGUUUUAAAAAGAUUUCACCAAGGCUAGUUUCGAUAGUGUCGUUUGGUCGAACUAGCCAGUCUCAUAUAUUAAGCUAACAGCCAGGAACUUUUAGCUUGGCUUUUUUUCUUGAUAAGUUAUACUUAACUGUUCAUCUGAGGCCUGUUUUUGAGACUCAAACAUGAAGACUGAGGACAGGGCCAACCAGGCUCAGCACGCACGUCUGAGUGAGGGUAUGAGACUUAUCUUUGACCAGAAGGCCCCAUCCAGCCGGGGCUCCUCCCGUUCUCGCUCCAGCAGCAGCAGCAGUGACAGCUCAUACUCCAGCCGUGGUAGCUACUCCUCCAGAUCCUCCCGGAGGUCUUCCAGGCACCGUCGCCACCGCAGGUCCCCCUCGUCAUCUGACUACUCCUCGUCCAGCAGCCGCUCUCGUUCACGCUCCCGCUCUUACCCACGCUGCCACCGCACCUCUGACUACUCUCGGUGCCGCCAUCGCCACUCUCCGCCUCGGCGUUACAGAGCACGAUCUCGCUCUUACAGCCCUUCUCCAGACUACCGCAGGUACCGUCGAUCUCCUCCCCGCCGCUACCGGGCACACUCCCGCUCCUACAGUCCCUCGCCUUCUCCGGACCGGUACUACAGGCGCUCACGCAGGUCCCGAUCCAGGUCGAGGUCCCUGAGCCGCCGACGGGUGAGUGGGUUUGUGGGAAGGUACAGGUGCCGCUUUUCCCCAUCGCCCAGGAGGAGCCCGAGGAGCUACAGGAGCAGGUCCAGGUCUCCAGAGCGUUCCACAAUCCAUCUAAGCCGUGAAGAAAAGAGGGAGCUUCUGAAGAUUGCUAAAGAAAAUGCCACGAAAAUUUUGGGAGUACAGAACCUCGAGCUCCCUGCCAGUCUGAAGGGUGUUGAGCUGGAGGAGGGGAAGCCAUCAGCUGUAAGCGCAGAAAGGGUGAGGCCUGAAGCAGAACCACAAAAGAACCAAGCACAGGUGAGUGUUACAGACCGGUCAACUGGUUGUUGGUGUGGUCAGUUGAAUGGGAGAUACCUCUGUCUGUCUGGGCCUAUCUGGUUAAAGGCAACCAAGUGGUUUGAGUAGCUCAAAAGAAAUCAGUCUCAUUUUUUGUGUAAAUCCAGGGGUAGUAUUGUCAGAGGCUCCUGUCAUUAAUGAUAAAUAGUCCUACUGUUAAUGUAGUCCCUUUGGGAUUUUCUUGGAAUAUGUUUAUUUUGUGGAGAAAAGGUUUCGUCGUUGUUUAAUCUGCACAGCAUUAGACUGUGGAUCCUUUCCCCCCAAAUUUAGAUUUCCUUGUAAUCUAUUUCCUCAGACAUGCAAAUAUGUUUGACCAGUGGACUAUGUUAUUGGAUCAGGAUGAUGGCAAAAAAAAUUCCAACAUCGUCCUCAUUUGUCCAGGUUUGGAUUGGAAAAUGAUCACAUGACAGUGGUCUGCACUCCUCCACCCUUUGGAUUAUGAAAAUGAGGGGGCAGACAUGUGACUUGAGUGACACCAUUGGGGUUUCACAAAGGUUUAAGUAAUAAAUGUGCCUCAAGGUCAAGUACAAGGUUACGUUCCAAGUUACGUUCUGAAUUUAAUGGGUUGCAGUCUUAACACGCACAUUUUAAUACAAAGUUGCACAUUGACACUAAGUUUCUACCACACAUACAUGACUGACAGCUGCUUUCAUGACACGUAAUGUCGUAAUGUUACUGCAGUACGCGCAUUUUGCACACUUUAAAGAGAGGAUCUGCAAGAUAUGUGUAAUUAUGUGUUUGCUCUUGGUUGAAAUGGGUGCGUUGUUAUUUACCAGAGUCAUCCUCCGUCUGUCUGAAGAAGCUCAGGCGUACGGACUGCCUUUUAGUGACAAGAACCCUCUCUCUCCUCGUAUGCCAAAGAUAAGUUGCGCACGGGUCGUGCGCCGAAUGGGGGUUUGGAAAUAACCUGCAUCUUCAUGACUUUAUUGAAACAGAGAAGGAUCUUGUAUUUAUGCUCUGGUUUCUUUUAUGAAAUUUGCCUUGUAAAAAUCUGGCAUAGGCAUAGGACUACCCCCACUUGUUCUUUUUCUUCUUUGUUUUUUUUUCUUUUUCGACAGCAGCACAGCCAGAAUGAAUGAACACCAGCUGCGGCUGUGUAGAUAUCAAGCAGGCUUAAAGUCAGUAGAUUUACAGGCUGUGCUAUUACAAGGCCUGUAUCCUUUCUGAAUUCUCAUGCAUGUGUAAUGAGCUCAGGAAGAAAGUAUUCUCUAUGUUCAGUGUACCUGGAAUGUAUUGUAGUUUAUGGGUCAUACAUUGCUUAGUGUUAAAUGGGUUUGUCCUGCUUUUCUUUCUGUAGGACCAAGCUGCUGUGGCCAACGAUGACGAGGACAGUUCUAAGACGUCCCCCAAGAGGAAACCCAUUACCUUCAGUAUUAAUAAUGCUGUUGCCAAGCCAUCAUCCAGCCCCAACUUUCAUGUCACUGAGGCUAAAGU